Molecule: ribosomal RNA, 464 nt
Filed under: uncultured bacterium
Lineage: Bacteria
Description: partial 16S ribosomal RNA
Rfam family: Bacterial small subunit ribosomal RNA
Source: RNAcentral
CUACGGGAUGCAGCAGUGGGGAAUAUUGCACAAUGGACGCAAGCCUGAUGCAGCCAUGCCGCGUGUAUGAAGAAGGCCUUCGGGUUGUAAAGUACUUUCAGCGGGGAGGAAGGGAGUAAAGUUAAUACCUUUGCUCAUUGACGUUACCCGCAGAAGAAGCACCGGCUAACUCCGUGCCAGCAGCCGCGGUAAUACGGAGGGUGCAAGCGUUAAUCGGAAUUACUGGGCGUAAAGCGCACGCAGGCGGUUUGUUAAGUCAGAUGUGAAAUCCCCGGGCUCAACCUGGGAACUGCAUCUGAUACUGGCAAGCUUGAGUCUCGUAGAGGGGGGUAGAAUUCCAGGUGUAGCGGUGAAAUGCGUAGAGAUCUGGAGGAAUACCGGUGGGGAAGGCGGCCCCCUGGACGAAGACUGACGCUCAGGUGCGAAAGCGUGGGGAGCAAACAGGAUUAGAUACCCUAGUAGUC